This 469-nucleotide ribosomal RNA is filed under the name uncultured Desulfosporosinus sp. RNAcentral describes it as "bacterial SSU rRNA". It matches the Rfam family "Bacterial small subunit ribosomal RNA", at positions 451 to 916 of the family's 1533-position model. Lineage: Bacteria; Bacillati; Bacillota; Clostridia; Eubacteriales; Desulfitobacteriaceae. The record is from RNAcentral.
UUUGAAAAUAUUGAGUCCACAUGACGGUACCCAAGGAGGAAGCCCCGGCUAACUACGUGCCAGCAGCCGCGGUAAUACGUAGGGGGCAAGCGUUGUCCGGAAUUAUUGGGCGUAAAGGGCGCGUAGGCGGAUGCUUAAGUCCGGUGUGAAAGAUCAGGGCUCAACCCUGAGAGUGCAUCGGAAACUGGGUAUCUUGAGGACAGGAGAGGAAAGUGGAAUUCCACGUGUAGCGGUGAAAUGCGUAGAUAUGUGGAGGAACACCAGUGGCGAAGGCGACUUUCUGGACUGUAACUGACGCUGAGGCGCGAAAGCGUGGGGAGCAAACAGGAUUAGAUACCCUGGUAGUCCACGCCGUAAACGAUGAGUGCUAGGUGUAGAGGGUAUCGACCCCUUCUGUGCCGCAGUUAACACAAUAAGCACUCCGCCUGGGGAGUACGGCCGCAAGGUUGAAACUCAAAUGAAUUGACGG